AUGGCUUUUCAGUGACAUGAUAAAAUUAUUUGAAAUGAUACAGAGAAGAUUAGUAUGUUCUUGCGUCAAGAUGACAAGCACAUACCGAGAAAUGGUUCAAUUUUUU
Camellia sinensis is the source of this 106-nucleotide small nuclear RNA. Lineage: Eukaryota; Viridiplantae; Streptophyta; Magnoliopsida; Ericales; Theaceae. The record is from RefSeq and is a predicted model, not a curated record.